Molecule: ribosomal RNA, 253 nt
Filed under: uncultured bacterium
Lineage: Bacteria
Description: partial 16S ribosomal RNA
Rfam family: Bacterial small subunit ribosomal RNA
Source: RNAcentral
UACGUAGGUGGCAAGCGUUGUCCGGAUUUACUGGGCGUAAAGGGAGUGUAGGUGGAUGUUUAAGUCAGAUGUGAAAUACCCAGGCUCAACCUGGGAACUGCAUUUGAAACUGGACGUCUAGAGUGCAGGAGAGGAAAGCGGAAUUCCUAGUGUAGCGGUGAAAUGCGUAGAUAUUAGGAAGAACACCAGUGGCGAAGGCGGCUUUCUGGACUGUAACUGACACUGAGGCUCGAAAGCGUGGGGAGCAAACAGG